AGCAUAUUGUUUUCAGUACAAUGACAUCAAAAUAUCAAAAGUCACUCUGUUCCUGUACACUGUUGAAUAAAAAUUGUAUCCUUGAAUGUUAAAGUCUAAAGUAUUUCAAGUCUUUUUGGUUGGAGUCCGAGCAGGUAUAGCCUAUGAACUGAACCUGAGAUCUGACACACAUGCAGCUUUAUGUGUCCUCAAAAAGUCACAUUUGGGCAUUUUCAGAUAUUCAAGCAAAGAACAAAAGACCUCAAAUACAGAUUUGUGUUGUUGCUGCUUGGACAAUUUCCUGUUUCCUUGGACAGGUUAAGGGCAUCAUGACACUGUCAACAUGAUGGGAUCAUUUUGUGCUUGGUACGGUUGAGGGGGUGUCCACUAGUUGAAUGGUAGUGCCACUCAAGUCUUCACAAAGAUCAGAAUCCCAAACAGUAUGAAAGGAAGGUUCGGCAUGAGAGGUGGAAGAAAAGCAAGGAGAAAACAGAACAGAAGACCAGUUAUUUUCACAUCUACACUGAUACACCAUUUUAAGUCAGCUAAAUGAAAGUAGCCUACUAUGUAAAUGAAGGCACACUGUGAGGUCAGGGGGGUUUAAGUAAAUUUAAGUACGUACAUCAAAUGACUCACCUUUCCUAAAUUCCGUAAGGUUUUGCACCAAAUCAAGGCGCUGCAAAUCUUUCAGCAGUACCUCUGUUUCGAUGAUACACUGGGAUGUACCCCAUACCUGUAUCAUUUUAUCAGCAAGAUCAUCUCUGUCAAGUGAUUUGGGUAUUCUUUUUUUUUGGUGUAGAAAAAACUUCAGUCUCUUGAAUUCUUUUUCAUCUAGGUUAUCCAAAAUCUCCAUUAAUUUGCUGGGCCAUGUGAUUUCCAGACCGGACGCUAAAAUAUUAAAGCACAUAUCAGAGGCAAAUACAUUUUGCAUACACAGAAAUAUAGCACUUCACACAAAGCUAAGCAGCCCUUCCUUACAUAUUGUAAUGUGAUUGAGUAAAAUAUUUACCACAACCCAAUAAACUGAAAGUGUUAUUGUCCCUCCCAACAUCACCUUAUUGACCUCUUUCUGGUUGUGUGUUUUAUACACACUUUAAAUGCACUCACCCAAGUACCAAUUAUACCUAAAGGCACUCAGCUAAAUCUGAAAUUCUAAAUAGUCUGCAGUGUAGAUGUUUACAGUGUAAAUAGUUUCAGACAUUUCUCACUUUUUACCGCCGCUCCUUUUGACGGAGCAUCUG
Long non-coding RNA from Clupea harengus (Atlantic herring), 1220 nucleotides. The record is from Ensembl. NCBI's taxonomy places the organism in Eukaryota, Metazoa, Chordata, Actinopteri, Clupeiformes, Clupeidae.